AAAGGGAGACCUAAUUCAGGUAGGAGACGAAAAAAAAGUAGUCCCUACCAAGAAUCAAUCCCAAAAGGUCGGAGCGAGGCAAAAUUGGCUUUCAAACUAGGUUCUGGGUUCACACAAGACCUGAAUCAGGAACAAGGGCUAUUAGCUCAGGUGGUUAGAGCGCACCCCUGAUAAGGGUGAGGUCCCUGGUUCGAGUCCAGGAUGGCCCACCUGUACAGGUGGCAAAAACAAAGAAAAGAAGCUCCGAAUCAGCACCUUAUCUUACUUAUAUAGUAAGAGAGAAUGCUGGCUCUGAGUAAAGAGUCCAGAGGAACCUUGAAAACUGCAUAGAGCUAGGUGAAAAAGUCAAAAAAGAAGACCGCAAG
RNAcentral lists this transfer RNA (365 nucleotides) under uncultured Microcystis sp. Its description in RNAcentral is "partial 16S-23S ribosomal RNA intergenic spacer". The stretch from base 136 to 209 matches the Rfam family "tRNA". Lineage: Bacteria; Bacillati; Cyanobacteriota; Cyanophyceae; Chroococcales; Microcystaceae. The record is from RNAcentral.